GGACGUGAGGGCGAUCUGGCUGCGACACCUGUCACCCCAUUGAUCGCCAGGGUUGAUUCAGCUAUCUGGCAGGCUAGGCGGGUGUCCCCUUCCUCCCUCAGUGAUCUACAUGUGUCCCUCCCGAAGCUGCAUGGUUGGCUGAAGGGAAAGACCACCCCGAUAGAGGAGGACCAUUCUUCGGUCAAGGGUAUAUAAGUAGCUGCACUCCCCUGCCAGAACCUCCAAACAAGCUCUCAAGAGAGAUUAUGAGAGACCCUAGUUCCUGAAUCUUAGUUACUUGAAAUGUCUUC
Molecule: unclassified non-coding RNA, 290 nt
Organism: Cavia aperea (Brazilian guinea pig)
Lineage: Eukaryota; Metazoa; Chordata; Mammalia; Rodentia; Caviidae
Gene: 7SK
Rfam family: 7SK RNA
About the family: 7SK was discovered as an abundant small nuclear RNA in the mid-70s but a possible function has only recently been suggested. Two independent studies have found that 7SK RNA binds the CDK9/cyclin T complex (known as elongation factor P-TEFb).
Source: Ensembl